This is a long non-coding RNA of Lolium perenne, 821 nucleotides long. RefSeq lists it as uncharacterized. The record is from RefSeq and is a predicted model, not a curated record. Lineage: Eukaryota; Viridiplantae; Streptophyta; Magnoliopsida; Poales; Poaceae.
AUCGGGCGUAGAUGGUGCGGCCGGAGACGAGUCUUGCGGCGGGGGCGAGGGAUGGGGGGAUGCGCACCACGGCUUGGCAUUGAGAGGCUCUGCAAGCAACCGGUGAUUAUGAGGCGAGGCGGUGGAGCUGGGCAGUGGCGCCGGAGGUAGGCGGCAGUAGGCGGUUCUGCUUGGACGACGAGAUAGAUGCGGCGGAGAACGGCAGCCGGCAUCGAGAUCGGCCGGGGCAAGCUGCUGGCGAGGUGCAGUGGUGUGGUCACGGCCGUCCGCGUCGAGCUUCGACCGCCGCGGGGGCUGAGGGGAGUAGUGGUGCCGGAGGAGAGCAGCAGGGGAGGGGCGGCGCCAGCUAGGAGCCGGAGAACGGCGGCCGGCAUCGAGGUCGGCCGGGACAAGUUGUUGGCGAUGUGCAGCUGGUGUGGUCGCGGACGUCCGCGUCGAGCAUCGCAGGGCGGUGCGGCACGCGGGAAGUGAGGCGGUGGUGCAGGCGCGCGGGUGAGGAAGGCCUGCCCCGGUCGCCGAGGUGCCAUGGGCCCCACCGUCCCGGAAUCCCCCUCGAGGUCGAGCAGUCGAGUCCGAGGGCCAGGGGCGGGACGACGACCGCGAGCGCUUCCCCGCGCAGCCGCCGCCGCUUCCGCUAAUCGCUGCAACCUGCUUCUCUGUUGUUGCCAGUUUGUGGUCGUGUUCUUCUUCACUCUACAGGUACAGGGUGCUUUCGAUUGAAUUGAACAUUGGUUCUGUGUGAGUUAUUGUUUUCGGCCGCUCUGUGAUUACUGUGUUAAGAUUUAAUUUGGCUAUGCAUUGUUGACUGAUUGGUUUUUGUA